RNAcentral lists this ribosomal RNA (497 nucleotides) under uncultured bacterium. RNAcentral describes it as "partial 16S ribosomal RNA". It matches the Rfam family "Bacterial small subunit ribosomal RNA", at positions 28 to 507 of the family's 1533-position model. The record is from RNAcentral.
GAUGAACGCUGGCGGCGUGCCUAAUACAUGCAAGUCGAGCGAACAGACGAGGAGCUUGCUCCUCUGACGUUAGCGGCGGACGGGUGAGUAACACGUGGAUAACCUACCUAUAAGACUGGGAUAACUUCGGGAAACCGGAGCUAAUACCGGAUAAUAUAUUGAACCGCAUUGUUCAAUAGUGAAAGACGGUUUUGCUGUCACUUAUAGAUUGAUCCGCGCCUCAUUAGCUAGUUGGGAAGUUAACGGGUUACCAAGGCACCGAUGCGUAGCCGACCUGAGAGGGUGAUCGGCCACACUGGAACUGAGACACGGUCCAGACUCCUACGGGAGGCAGCAGUAGGGAAUCUUCCGCAAUGGGCGAAAGCCUGACGGAGCAACGCCGCGUGAGUGAUGAAGGUCUUCGGAUCGUAAAACUCUGUUAUUAGGGAAGAACAAAUGUGUAAGUAACUAUGCACGUCUUGACGGUACCUAAUCAGAAAGCCACGGCUAACUACGUG